AAACUUUCAACAAUGGAUCUCUUGGCUCUGGUAUCGAUGAAGAACGUAGCGAAAUGCGAUACGUAAUGUGAAUUGCAGAACUCAGUGAAUCAUCGAAUUUUUGAACGCAUAUUGCGCCUGCUAGUAUUCUAGCAGGCAUACCUGUUCGAGCGUUAUUA
RNAcentral lists this ribosomal RNA (158 nucleotides) under Phyllachora imperatae. RNAcentral describes it as "5.8S ribosomal RNA". It matches the Rfam family "5.8S ribosomal RNA". Rfam says of the family: 5.8S ribosomal RNA (5.8S rRNA) is a component of the large subunit of the eukaryotic ribosome. It is transcribed by RNA polymerase I as part of the 45S precursor that also contains 18S and 28S rRNA. Functionally, it is thought that 5.8S rRNA may be involved in ribosome translocation. Lineage: Eukaryota; Fungi; Ascomycota; Sordariomycetes; Phyllachorales; Phyllachoraceae. The record is from RNAcentral.